RNAcentral lists this ribosomal RNA (253 nucleotides) under uncultured bacterium. RNAcentral's name for it is "partial 16S ribosomal RNA". It matches the Rfam family "Bacterial small subunit ribosomal RNA", at positions 524 to 776 of the family's 1533-position model. The record is from RNAcentral.
UACGGAGGGUGCGAGCGUUGUCCGGAAUCACUGGGCGUAAAGGGCGCGUAGGUGGCGCGGGAAGUCCACGGUGAAAGUUCGGGGCUCAACCCUGAAUCGGCCGUCGAUACUCCCGGGCUCGAGCACUGUAGAGGCAGAUGGAAUUCCGGGUGUAGCGGUGGAAUGCGUAGAGAUCCGGAAGAACACCGGUGGCGAAGGCGGGUCUCUGGGCCGAUACUGACGCUGAGGAGCGAAAGCGUGGGGAGCGAACAGG